Molecule: long non-coding RNA, 369 nt
Organism: Chinchilla lanigera (long-tailed chinchilla)
Lineage: Eukaryota; Metazoa; Chordata; Mammalia; Rodentia; Chinchillidae
Exons: 3
Source: RefSeq, a predicted model, not a curated record
GAAAACUUACCAGUUUGAGCUUUGGAGCAUUUCAUUGGAUUAGCAGAUGGGAUCCCUGCCCUCUAUUAUCUGCCAGAAGAUGACACAGCUGGAGGUCCCUCCUCAGGAGCCGAGCAGAUGUUGGAACCAAGCUCUUGGGACCCCAGUCCCCAGAACCAGGAGUUCAGAAAUGAUUGAGAAACGAACACAGAGGUCAGAUGAAGCUUACGUCAUGUUGGCCACCUUGAAAAGGUUUGGAGAAGGCUGCUGAUCCCCCGAAUCAACCCUGUCACCCAGGUCCUGGCAUCCCAGGCACCUGCAGAAGCAGCGCUCUCACCAUCAUCCAAGGCAGACCCAACAACACCCUCUCUGCAGUCGGGAAGAUCUAAA